Molecule: ribosomal RNA, 484 nt
Filed under: uncultured bacterium
Lineage: Bacteria
Description: partial 16S ribosomal RNA
Rfam family: Bacterial small subunit ribosomal RNA
Source: RNAcentral
AUUGAACGCUGGCGGCAAGCCUAACACAUGCAAGUCGAGCGGAUGAGGGGAGCUUGCUCCCUGAUUUAGCGGCGGACGGGUGAGUAAUGCCUAGGAAUCUGCCUGGUAGUGGGGGAUAACGUUCCGAAAGGAACGCUAAUACCGCAUACGUCCUACGGGAGAAAGCAGGGGACCUUCGGGCCUUGCGCUAUCAGAUGAGCCUAGGUCGGAUUAGCUAGUUGGUGAGGUAAUGGCUCACCAAGGCGACGAUCCGUAACUGGUCUGAGAGGAUGAUCAGUCACACUGGAACUGAGACACGGUCCAGACUCCUACGGGAGGCAGCAGUGGGGAAUAUUGGACAAUGGGCGAAAGCCUGAUCCAGCCAUGCCGCGUGUGUGAAGAAGGUCUUCGGAUUGUAAAGCACUUUAAGUUGGGAGGAAGGGCUGCUGGUUAAUACCCUGCAGUUUUGACGUUACCAACAGAAUAAGCACCGGCUAACUUCGUG